Molecule: ribosomal RNA, 477 nt
Filed under: uncultured Pseudomonadota bacterium
Lineage: Bacteria; Pseudomonadati; Pseudomonadota
Description: bacterial SSU rRNA
Rfam family: Bacterial small subunit ribosomal RNA
Source: RNAcentral
GGCGGACGGGUGAGUAACGCGUAGGAAUCUACCUAAUGGUGGGGGAUAGCCCAGGGAAACUUGGAUUAAUACCGCAUAAGUCCUAAGGGAGAAAGCGGGGGAUCUUCGGACCUCGUGCUAUUAGAUGAGCCUGCGUAAGAUUAGCUAGUUGGUGAGGUAAGAGCUCACCAAGGCGACGAUCUUUAGCUGGUCUGAGAGGAUGAUCAGCCACACUGGGACUGAGACACGGCCCAGACUCCUACGGGAGGCAGCAGUGGGGAAUAUUGGACAAUGGGGGCAACCCUGAUCCAGCCAUGCCGCGUGUGUGAAGAAGGCCUUCGGGUUGUAAAGCACUUUCAGCAGUGAGGAAAGGUUACAGAUUAAUACUCUGUAGCUGUGACGUUAACUGCAGAAGAAGGACCGGCUAACUCCGUGCCAGCAGCCGCGGUAAUACGGAGGGUCCGAGCGUUAAUCGGAAUUACUGGGCGUAAAGCGCGC